CACGUAGGGGGCAAGCGUUGUCCGGAAUUACUGGGCGUAAAGGGCGUGUAGGCGGCCAUGUAUGUCAGGUGUGAAAGGCCUCGGCUUAACCGAGGCAUUGCACAUGAAACUGUAUGGCUUGAGUGCAGGAGAGGGGAGUGUAAUUCCUAGUGUAGCGGUGAAAUGCGUAGAUAUUAGGAGGAACACCAGUGGCGAAGGCGGCUAUCUGGACAGUAACUGACGCUGAGGCGCGAAAGCGUGGGGAGCAAACAGGAUUAGA
RNAcentral lists this ribosomal RNA (259 nucleotides) under uncultured prokaryote. RNAcentral's name for it is "partial 16S ribosomal RNA". It matches the Rfam family "Bacterial small subunit ribosomal RNA", at positions 524 to 782 of the family's 1533-position model. The record is from RNAcentral.